UAUGGCUAUAUCACAUUAAAAACACCAGUUCUCAUCCAAUCACUGAAUUUAAACAACAUUGAGCCUGGUCACUACCUAGAUGGGUGACCACUUGGGAAUACCAGAUGCUGUAAG
This is a non-coding RNA of Acanthosepion pharaonis, 114 nucleotides long. NCBI's taxonomy places the organism in Eukaryota, Metazoa, Mollusca, Cephalopoda, Sepiida, Sepiidae. The record is from the annotation of a GenBank genome assembly.